CAGCCGUAAACUAUGCGCGUUAGGUGUACUGGUGACCACGAGUCACCGGGGUGCCGAAGGGAAACCGUGAAACGUGCCGCCUGGGAAGUACGGUCGCAAGGCUGAAACUUAAAGGAAUUGGCGGGGGAGGCACCACAACGGGUGGAGCCUGCGGUUUAAUUUGGACUCAACGCCGGAAAUACUCACCGGAUAGGACAGACAUAUGAUAGUCGGGCUGAAGACUCUACUUGAUGAUCUGAGAGGUGGUGCAUGGCGUCAGUGACU
RNAcentral lists this ribosomal RNA (264 nucleotides) under uncultured archaeon. Its description in RNAcentral is "partial 16S ribosomal RNA". It matches the Rfam family "Archaeal small subunit ribosomal RNA", at positions 748 to 1008 of the family's 1478-position model. The record is from RNAcentral.